RNAcentral lists this ribosomal RNA (490 nucleotides) under uncultured bacterium. Its description in RNAcentral is "partial 16S ribosomal RNA". It matches the Rfam family "Bacterial small subunit ribosomal RNA", at positions 28 to 507 of the family's 1533-position model. The record is from RNAcentral.
GAUGAACGCUAGCGAUAGGCUUAACACAUGCAAGUCGGGGGGCAGCAUGGUCUUAGCUUGCUCAGACUGAUGGCGACCGGCGCACGGGUGCGUAACGCGUAUGCAACUUGCCUCACAGAGGGGGAUAACCCGUCGAAAGACGGACUAAUACCGCGUACACUCCAUCUUGGGCAUCCAAGGUAGAGGAAAUGAAAUUCGCUGUGAGAUAGGCAUGCGUCCCAUUAGCUAGUUGGUGAGGUAACGGCUCACCAAGGCGACGAUGGGUAGGGGAACUGAGAGGUUGAACCCCCACACUGGUACUGAGACACGGACCAGACUCCUACGGGAGGCAGCAGUGAGGAAUAUUGGUCAAUGGGCGAGAGCCUGAACCAGCCAAGUCGCGUGAAGGAUGACUGUCUUAUGGAUUGUAAACUUCUUUUAUACGGGAAUAACAAGAGUCACGUGUGACUCCCUGCAUGUACCGUAUGAAUAAGCAUCGGCUAACUCCGUG